GUAGAGAGGUUGUUUCCGAUAGACCUUCGGCUCAAGAAUACGAAAAGAGACAAUGGAUCAGUAACGGCAACCGAGACCAAAAAGAUAACAACAAGAAGCUAUAUAGUAGGUUAUUAAUCUAUUUUCUAGGUAGAUCAGUAACAACAACAACAACAGAGACCAAAGAUAACAGCAACAAGCUAUAGUUGGUUAUUAAUCUACUUUCUAGGUAGUCAUAUCAGAUUUACUAUGAAGAUUUACCAGUAAAUCAAUUUAAUCCGGUGGUGUAAAUAAUUAAUAAACUGACAGUACAUAAAACAUAAAACUCACAAACACAUAUAUUCAAGAUUCAUCCCUAAGUAAAUGCAUUGUCGGCAAAAAGAGCAAGAACGCAAAAAAGAAAAGUAAAAAUAAAA
This 395-nucleotide long non-coding RNA is filed under the name Nicotiana tabacum (common tobacco). RNAcentral's name for it is "long non-coding RNA (NTAB_LNC018166)". Lineage: Eukaryota; Viridiplantae; Streptophyta; Magnoliopsida; Solanales; Solanaceae. The record is from RNAcentral.